RNAcentral lists this ribosomal RNA (561 nucleotides) under uncultured bacterium. RNAcentral describes it as "bacterial SSU rRNA". It matches the Rfam family "Bacterial small subunit ribosomal RNA", at positions 62 to 616 of the family's 1533-position model. The record is from RNAcentral.
UCGAGCGGUAACAGGCGUAGCAAUACGUGCUGACGAGCGGCGAACGGGUGAGUAACGCUUCGGAAUCUGCCCAAUGGUGGGGAAUAACCAGCCGAAAGGUUGGCUAAUACCGCAUGAGCCCUACGGGGGAAAGCGGGGGAUCGUAAGACCUCGCGCCGAUGGAUGAGCCGAAGCCGGAUUAGCUAGUUGGUAGGGUAACGGCCUACCAAGGCGACGAUCCGUAGCUGGUCUGAGAGGACGACCAGCCACACUGGGACUGAGACACGGCCCAGACUCCUACGGGAGGCAGCAGUGGGGAAUAUUGGACAAUGGGGGAAACCCUGAUCCAGCGACGCCGCGUGUGUGAAGAAGGCCUGCGGGUUGUAAAGCACUUUUAGUGGGGAUGAAAAGCUCAGAGAUAACACCUCUGGGUCUUGACCCAACCCACAGAAAAAGCACCGGCUAACUCUGUGCCAGCAGCCGCGGUAAUACAGAGGGUGCAAGCGUUAAUCGGAAUUACUGGGCGUAAAGCGUACGUAGACGGUUGGAUAAGUCGGAUGUGAAAGCCCCGGGCUCAACCUG